AGUGAACGCUGGCGGUAGGCCUAACACAUGCAAGUCGAUCGGCAGCACAGUAAGAGCUUGCUCUUACGGGUGGCGAGUGGCGGACGGGUGAGGAAUACAUCGGAAUCUACUUUUUCGUGGGGGAUAACGUAGGGAAACUUACGCUAAUACCGCAUACGACCUACGGGUGAAAGCAGGGGAUCUUCGGACCUUGCGCGAUUGAAUGAGCCGAUGUCGGAUUAGCUAGUUGGCGGGGUAAAGGCCCACCAAGGCGACGAUCCGUAGCUGGUCUGAGAGGAUGAUCAGCCACACUGGAACUGAGACACGGUCCAGACUCCUACGGGAGGCAGCAGUGGGGAAUAUUGGACAAUGGGCGCAGGCCUGAUCCAGCCAUACCGCGUGGGUGAAGAAGGCCUUCGGGUUGUAAAGCCCUUUUGUUGGGAAAGAAAAGCAGCAGGUUAAUACCCCGCUGUUCUGACGGUACCCAAAGAAUAAGCACCGGCUAACUUCGUG
This 492-nucleotide ribosomal RNA is filed under the name uncultured bacterium. RNAcentral describes it as "partial 16S ribosomal RNA". It matches the Rfam family "Bacterial small subunit ribosomal RNA", at positions 29 to 507 of the family's 1533-position model. The record is from RNAcentral.